Molecule: ribosomal RNA, 422 nt
Filed under: uncultured Chitinophagaceae bacterium
Lineage: Bacteria; Pseudomonadati; Bacteroidota; Chitinophagia; Chitinophagales; Chitinophagaceae
Description: bacterial SSU rRNA
Rfam family: Bacterial small subunit ribosomal RNA
Source: RNAcentral
AGUGAGGAAUAUUGGUCAAUGGACGCAAGUCUGAACCAGCCAUGCCGCGUGAAGGAUGAAGGCCUUCUGGGUUGUAAACUUCUUUUAUGUGGGAAGAAAACUACGGUUUCUACUGUAGCCGACGGUACCAUAGGAAUAAGCACCGGCUAACUCCGUGCCAGCAGCCGCGGUAAUACGGAGGGUGCAAGCGUUAUCCGGAUUCACUGGGUUUAAAGGGUGUGUAGGCGGGCUAUUAAGUCAGUGGUGAAAUCUCAGGGCUCAACCCUGAAACUGCCAUUGAUACUAUUAGUCUUGAAUUCUGUUGAGGUGGGCGGAAUAUGUCAUGUAGCGGUGAAAUGCUUAGAUAUGACAUAGAACACCGAUUGCGAAGGCAGCUCACUAAGCAGCGAUUGACGCUGAGGCACGAAAGCGUGGGGAUCAAA